GACGGGGCCCGCACAAGCGGAGGAGCAUGUGGUUAAUUCGAUGAUACGCGAGGAACCUUACCUGGGCUUAAAUGUAGAGUGCAUGAGGUAGAAAUACUUCUUUUCUUCGGAACUCUCUGCAAGGUGCUGCAUGGUUGUCGUCAGCUCGUGCCGUGAGGUGUCGGGUUAAGUCCCAUAACGAGCGCAACCCUUAUCGUUAGUUGCCAGCGGGUAAUGCCGGGGACUCUAGCGAAACUGCCGGUGUAAACCGAGAGGAAGCGGGAUGACGUCAAAUCAGCACGGCCCUUAUGUCCAGGGCUACACACGUGUUACAAUGGCCGGUACAGAGGGCAGCUACCUGGAAACAGGAUGCGAAUCUCGAAAGCCGGUCUCAGUUCGGAUCGGAGUCUGCAACUCGACUCCGUGAAGCUGGAUUCGCUAGUAAUCGCGCAUCAGCCAUGGCGCGGUGAAUACGUUCCCGGGCCUU
Molecule: ribosomal RNA, 466 nt
Filed under: uncultured Sphingobacteriales bacterium
Lineage: Bacteria; Pseudomonadati; Bacteroidota; Sphingobacteriia; Sphingobacteriales
Description: bacterial SSU rRNA
Rfam family: Bacterial small subunit ribosomal RNA
Source: RNAcentral